This 976-nucleotide long non-coding RNA is filed under the name Homo sapiens (human). RNAcentral's name for it is "HSALNT0379763". Lineage: Eukaryota; Metazoa; Chordata; Mammalia; Primates; Hominidae. The record is from RNAcentral.
GACAAUCACUACCAUGGCAACCAAGCCUCUGUGACGUUCCAGCAAGCUCAUUGUCUUCUCUUCACUAAACUUUAGUUAGUAGUUGGUCCCAGUCAGUAACACUCUGGGAGGGCUCAGGCCACAUCACGAAAUGUGACAGGAUAGCCUUGAACUCAUCAAUUGCUGGGGGCACCUCAAACUCAACUCCAAAAUUGAUCUAAUGAACUUUCCCAAACCACAUUCCCUUCUUGCAUUUCUGAGAGAAUGGAUUCCCAUUCAUCUGACUACAGUGCUACCCUGAAAGCAGAUCCAGAGACUAAGAUUCACCUGCAGGUGAUUCAUUUGCAAGGUAAGCUGUCAUCAGUUGGAGGUAAGCGGAAGACAGUAGAGAGUACAGAGCCCUGGACUGUGACUCAGAGGAUGAGCACCAGAUCCAGUUUGCUGUGCCACAGUGUGGAUUUUUAUCUGAGAUCUACAACUUAUGAAGAAUACAAAUGAUGUAUAUUCUUUUCUACUCUUCAUGUAUGGACUAGAGGGGCUUGCACAUAAGAAAAAAAUGGCUGAGACCCACAGGAACAAAGAAACAGGACAGGAGUUAGAUGCAGAGAAGAGAUUUCAACAAAAGUUUGGAAAAGAUGCUAACGGUAGCAUAUGAGUCACAGACAGAACAUUGGCACCUUUGUUUAAGAAACUGAAUGUUAAUGUCACAUCUGCCUUUGGAGAUUACAAAUGAAAUGGCUACCUUUCUACUGGAACCCUGACCAGAAGUCUGCCAGUUAGUAAGCUGGCUUAAGAGAUCAAUCUAAAAUUUACAUAAGGCUUUUGAAAAAAAGAAAAAAGAACCCAAAGGCACAGAUUGACGUUAUAAGUCCUGAUUUUUGACUUGACUUCUCAUCACCUGGAAGUGAAUAAAGCAGUAGACUUCUCUAACAUUUUGUAACACAGCAUGAAAAAAUAUAGAGUACAAAAGAUAUAUAUAUAUAAUAUGAUAAAAUGA